GAUGAACGCUGGCGGCGUGCUUAACACAUGCAAGUGGAACGGUGAAGCAGGAGCUUGCUCUUGUGGAUCAGUGGCGAACGGGUGAGUAACACGUGAGCAACCUGCCCCUGACUCUGGGAUAAGCGCUGGAAACGGCGUCUAAUACUGGAUAUGUGAUGUGACCGCAUGGUCUGCAUCUGGCAAGAAUUUCGGUUGGGGAUGGGCUCGCGGCCUAUCAGCUUGUUGGUGAGGUGAUGGCUCACCAAGGCGUCGACGGGUAGCCGGCCUGAGAGGGUGACCGGCCACACUGGGACUGAGACACGGCCCAGACUCCUACGGGAGGCAGCAGUGGGGAAUAUUGCACAAUGGGCGGAAGCCUGAUGCAGCAACGCCGCGUGAGGGAUGACGGCCUUCGGGUUGUAAACCUCUUUUAGCAGGGAAGAAGCGAAAGUGACGGUACCUGCAGAAAAAGCACCGGCUAACUACGUGCCAGCCGCCGCCGUAA
This 484-nucleotide ribosomal RNA is filed under the name uncultured bacterium. RNAcentral's name for it is "partial 16S ribosomal RNA". It matches the Rfam family "Bacterial small subunit ribosomal RNA", at positions 28 to 523 of the family's 1533-position model. The record is from RNAcentral.